This 642-nucleotide ribosomal RNA is filed under the name Exserohilum sp. P27E3. RNAcentral describes it as "eukaryotic LSU rRNA". The stretch from base 248 to 402 matches the Rfam family "5.8S ribosomal RNA". Lineage: Eukaryota; Fungi; Ascomycota; Dothideomycetes; Pleosporales; Pleosporaceae. The record is from RNAcentral.
UCUUGGUCAUUUAGAGGAAGUAAAAGUCGUAACAAGGUCUCCGUAGGUGAACCUGCGGAGGGAUCAUUACACAACAAAAAUAUGAGGGUGUGGUUUGCUGGCAACAGCGUCCGCCCCAAGUAUUUUUCACCCAUGUCUUUUGCGCACUUUUUGUUUCCUGGGCGAGUUCGCUCGCCACCAGGACCCAACCAUAAACCUUUUUUAUGCAGUUGCAAUCAGCGUCAGUAUAAUAAUUCAAUUUAUUAAAACUUUUCAACAACGGAUCUCUUGGUUCCUGGCAUCGAUGAAGAACGCAGCGAAAUGCGAUACGUAGUGUGAAUUGCAGAAUUCAGUGAAUCAUCGAAUCUUUGAACGCACAUUGCGCCCUUUGGUAUUCCAAAGGGCAUGCCUGCUCGAGCGUCAUUUGUACCCUCAAGCUUUGCUUGGUGUUGGGCGUCUUUUUGUCUCUCCCCUUGUUGGGGGAGACUCGCCUUAAAACGAUUGGCAGCCGACCUACUGGUUUUCGGAGCGCAGCACAAAUUUGCGCCUUCCAAUCCACGGGGCGGCAUCCAGCAAGCCUUUGUUUUCUAUAACAAAUCCACAUUUUGACCUCGGAUCAGGUAGGGAUACCCGCUGAACUUAAGCAUAUCAAUAAGCGGAGGA